This 77-nucleotide transfer RNA is filed under the name Rhizobium laguerreae. RNAcentral's name for it is "tRNA-Pro". It matches the Rfam family "tRNA". From Rfam's summary of the family: Transfer RNA (tRNA) molecules are approximately 80 nucleotides in length. Their secondary structure includes four short double-helical elements and three loops (D, anti-codon, and T loops). The record is from RNAcentral. Lineage: Bacteria; Pseudomonadati; Pseudomonadota; Alphaproteobacteria; Hyphomicrobiales; Rhizobiaceae.
CAGUGUGUAGCGCAGACUGGUAGCGUACCUGACUUGGAUUCAGGGGGUCGCAGGUUCGAACCCUGCCACACUGACCA